AGAGUUUGAUCAUGGCUCAGAUUGAACGCUGGCGGAAUGCUUUACACAUGCAAGUCGAGCGGCAGCACGGGGGCAACCCUGGUGGCGAGCGGCGAACGGGUGAGUAAUACAUCGGAACAUGCCCAGUCGUGGGGGAUAACACUUCGAAAGAAGUGCUAAUACCGCAUACGUCCUGAGGGAGAAAGCGGGGGAUCGCAAGACCUCGCGCGAUUGGAGUGGCCGAUGUCAGAUUAGCUAGUUGGUGGGGUAAAGGCCUACCAAGGCAACGAUCUGUAGCUGGUCUGAGAGGAUGAUCAGCCACACUGGGACUGAGACACGGCCCAGACUCCUACGGGAGGCAGCAGUGGGGAAUUUUGGACAAUGGGGGCAACCCUGAUCCAGCCAUUCCGCGUGAGUGAAGAAGGCCUUCGGGUUGUAAAGCUCUUUCGGCAGGAACGAAACGGUGAGCUCUAACAUAGCUUGCUAAUGACGGUACCUGAAGAAGAAGCACCGGCUAACUACGUGCCAGCAGCCGCGGUAAUACGUAGGGUGCGAGCGUUAAUCGGAAUUACUGGGCGUAAAGCGUGCGCAGGCGGUUGUGUAAGACAGGUGUGAAAUCCCCGGGCUUAAC
Molecule: ribosomal RNA, 610 nt
Filed under: uncultured bacterium
Lineage: Bacteria
Description: bacterial SSU rRNA
Rfam family: Bacterial small subunit ribosomal RNA
Source: RNAcentral